CCUACGGGAGGUUGCAGUGGGGAAUAUUGCACAAUGGGCGCAAGCCUGAUGCAGCCAUGCCGCGUGUGUGAAGAAGGCCUUCGGGUUGUAAAGCACUUUCAGCGGGGAGGAAGGCGUUAAGGUUAAUAACCUUGUCGAUUGACGUUACCCGCAGAAGAAGCACCGGCUAACUCCGUGCCAGCAGCCGCGGUAAUACGGAGGGUGCAAGCGUUAAUCGGAAUCACUGGGCGUAAAGCGCACGCAGGCGGUCUGUCAAGUCGGAUGUGAAAUCCCCGGGCUCAACCUGGGAACUGCAUUCGAAACUGGCAGGCUAGAGGCUUGUAGAGGGGGGUAGAAUUCCAGGUGUAGCGGUGAAAUGCGUAGAGAUCUGGAGGAAUACCGGGGGCGAAGGCGGCCCCCUGGACAAAGACUGACGCUCAGGUGCGAAAGCGUGGGGAGCAAACAGGAUUAAUACCCUAGUAGUC
This 464-nucleotide ribosomal RNA is filed under the name uncultured Klebsiella sp. RNAcentral's name for it is "bacterial SSU rRNA". It matches the Rfam family "Bacterial small subunit ribosomal RNA", at positions 338 to 795 of the family's 1533-position model. The record is from RNAcentral. Lineage: Bacteria; Pseudomonadati; Pseudomonadota; Gammaproteobacteria; Enterobacterales; Enterobacteriaceae.